Cyprinus carpio carpio is the source of this 260-nucleotide long non-coding RNA. Lineage: Eukaryota; Metazoa; Chordata; Actinopteri; Cypriniformes; Cyprinidae. The record is from Ensembl.
UAAUUAUGCAAAAACUAUCAUCUCCAAAAUACCAUUACGUUUUUAUCUUAUUUUAAUAGUAUUGACAACAUAUUUCUCAAGUUAUCACGCAUUACUGAAAAAGUGAAGAAGGGACACUAUAUUUGUUAUCUAUUUUCAUGUUGUGCGAAGUCGGCUAUUUUGAUUUGAAUAUGGAUUUUUGGCUCUGUGUGAGGAGUGUAUGUGUGCUGAGACUUUCAUUGUCUGAGAGAAAUUGCGCCUCUACAGGAGCAAUCCCCGGG